This 392-nucleotide ribosomal RNA is filed under the name Projasus bahamondei. RNAcentral's name for it is "eukaryotic LSU rRNA". It matches the Rfam family "Eukaryotic large subunit ribosomal RNA", at positions 1163 to 1511 of the family's 3401-position model. Lineage: Eukaryota; Metazoa; Arthropoda; Malacostraca; Decapoda; Palinuridae. RNAcentral also lists the same sequence under 1 other name. The record is from RNAcentral.
AUGAACCAAACGUCGAGUUAAGGGGCCUAAAUGAAUGCUCAUUCAGAUCCCAUCGAAAGGUGUUGGUUGCUAUAGACAGCAGGACGGUGGCCAUGGAAGUUGGAAUCCGCUAAGGAGUGUGUAACAACUCACCUGCCGAAGCAACUAGCCCUUAAAAUGGUAUGGCGCUCAAGCAUUCUCCCGAUACUCGACCGCCGUGGCACUACCGGUCCGCCGCAAUGCCUCCGGGUUUUUGGCGGGUCUCGAAGCCACGGUGAGUAGGAGGGUCGCGGUGGUGUGCGCUGAAGGGUUCGGCGUGAGCCGGCCUGGAGCCUCCACUGGUGCAGAUCUUGGUGGUAGUAGCAAAUAGUCGAGAGAGAGUCCCUUGAAGGCCGAAGUGGAGAAGGGUUCCA